This 49-nucleotide non-coding RNA is filed under the name unclassified sequences. RNAcentral describes it as "mini-ykkC.2008-01-16 RNA". It matches the Rfam family "Guanidine-II riboswitch aptamer (mini-ykkC)". Rfam says of the family: Simpler in structure and has fewer highly conserved nucleotide positions than the ykkC-yxkD leader. Despite this each of its two stem-loop structures directly bind free guanidine. Therefore, mini-ykkC RNA motif represents a distinct class of guanidine-sensing RNAs. The record is from RNAcentral.
CCUCGGGGACGGCCCCGGGGACGUCGAAUUUUUUGGCGGGACGACCCGC